AUCAGAUAAUAUAUUAUAUGAAUAUGUGAUCUCCUUAAACAUAUCAGCAGCUUUAGGGUCAUUUGCAUUCUUGUCAGGAUGAUACUUCAAAGCCAAUUUACGGUAAGCGGUUUUGAUUUCUUGAUCUGUGGAGCUAACAGAAACACCAAGAACCUCAUAUGGGUCUCUCCUUAAUUGAUUUUCUCCCUUAUUCUUCUCCGAUUUCGAUCUGUGACCCGGCAUUUUGAAAACCCUAAAAUGUUUUCAAGAUAA
Molecule: long non-coding RNA, 252 nt
Filed under: Helianthus annuus (common sunflower)
Lineage: Eukaryota; Viridiplantae; Streptophyta; Magnoliopsida; Asterales; Asteraceae
Description: sRNA HanXRQr2_Chr12g0543691
Source: RNAcentral